AAAUAAAAUUUUUAUGUUUUAUAAAUUUUAUUUUAAGUUUAUUUUACAUAUAAAUUUUAGUAUGAAAUUUUAAUUAUUUUAAAAAUAAUUAAAUUAUUAUUGUAGUAAUUAAUAUUAAAAAUUUAAGAAAUUAAGAUUUAGUAAUACAAAAAUUAAUAACUAAUUUUGUGCCAGCAGUUGCGGUUAAACAAAAGUUAAAUUAAAUUAUUUCAGUAUAUAAUAAAUAAAUUUAUUUUAAAAUAAAUAAUAAAUUAUUAGGUAAAAUUUUAAUUUAUUUAAAUUUUAUAUAAAAAUUAUGAUUUAAUAAAUUUUAAUAUAAACUAGGAUUAGAUACCCUAUUAUUAAAAAUUUAAUUUAAAAUACUAAAAUAGUAAAUAAUAAUUUAUUGAAACUUAAAUAAUAUGGCGGUAUUUUAGUUCAUUUAGAGGAAUCUGUUUAAUAAUUGAUAAUCCACGAAUAAAUUUACUUAAUUUAAAAUUUUGUAUAUCGUUGUUAAAAAAAUAUUUUUUAAUAAAAAUAAUAUUUUAAAAUUAUAAAAUAAAUUAAUUCAGAUCAAGAUGCAGAAUAUAAUUAAGAAUAUGAUGGAUUACAAUAAAUUUAUUUAGAUGAAUAUAAUAUUUGUAAAAUAUAUUUGAAAGUGGAUUUAAAUGUAAUUUUAUUUAGUUUAAUAAAAUGAUUAUAAAUUGAAAUAUGUACAUAUUGCCCGUCACUUUCAUUUAAAAAUUGAAAUAAGUCGUAACAAAGUAGAGGUACUGGAAAGUGUUUCUAGAAUGAU
RNAcentral lists this non-coding RNA (775 nucleotides) under Libythea celtis (nettle-tree butterfly). The record is from RNAcentral. Lineage: Eukaryota; Metazoa; Arthropoda; Insecta; Lepidoptera; Nymphalidae.